This 287-nucleotide unclassified non-coding RNA is filed under the name Hevea brasiliensis (rubber tree). Lineage: Eukaryota; Viridiplantae; Streptophyta; Magnoliopsida; Malpighiales; Euphorbiaceae. The record is from RNAcentral.
GGAAAAAAAACAGGUUGUCUACCCAAAAAUAAAAUACUAUAUUCUGUCUAUAGCUUAAACCCUAAACUAGAGAGCAGGGGAGCAUACAUAGCCUCUUUUUUGAACCCGCCAAUUCUACGGAGGUGAAGAAUUACUAGUUGUAACCGAUCUGCUAAUAUCUUCCGAUUCGACAUGCAUGAGGAAUUCCCUCUUUUUAAUCGGAUAGGUUUCGCUUGCCUUCGUCUUCUCCUGUUCAAAAUGGGUAAUAUCCUGUCACAUUGUUUAAAUCUAUCUUUCUGAAGUUAACA